RNAcentral lists this ribosomal RNA (2926 nucleotides) under Staphylococcus epidermidis. RNAcentral's name for it is "bacterial LSU rRNA". It matches the Rfam family "Bacterial large subunit ribosomal RNA". Lineage: Bacteria; Bacillati; Bacillota; Bacilli; Caryophanales; Staphylococcaceae. The record is from RNAcentral.
AGAUUAAGUUAUUAAGGGCGCACGGUGGAUGCCUUGGCACUAGAAGCCGAUGAAGGACGUUACUAACGACGAUAUGCUUUGGGUAGCUGUAAGUAAGCGUUGAUCCAGAGAUUUCCGAAUGGGGGAACCCAGCAUGAGUUAUGUCAUGUUAUCGACAUGUGAAUUCAUAGCAUGUCAGAAGGCAGACCCGGAGAACUGAAACAUCUUAGUACCCGGAGGAAGAGAAAGAAAAAUCGAUUCCCUGAGUAGCGGCGAGCGAAACGGGAAGAGCCCAAACCAACAAGCUUGCUUGUUGGGGUUGUAGGACACUCUAUACGGAGUUACAAAAGAACAUGUUAGACGAAUCAUCUGGAAAGAUGAAUCAAAGAAGGUAAUAAUCCUGUAGUCGAAAACAUAUUCUCUCUUGAGUGGAUCCUGAGUACGACGGAGCACGUGAAAUUCCGUCGGAAUCUGGGAGGACCAUCUCCUAAGGCUAAAUACUCUCUAGUGACCGAUAGUGAACCAGUACCGUGAGGGAAAGGUGAAAAGUACCCCGGAAGGGGAGUGAAAGAGAACUUGAAACCGUGUGCUUACAAGUAGUCAGAGCCCGUUAAUGGGUGAUGGCGUGCCUUUUGUAGAAUGAACCGGCGAGUUACGAUCUGAUGCAAGGUUAAGCAGCAAAUGUGGAGCCGCAGCGAAAGCGAGUCUGAAUAGGGCGUUGAGUAUUUGGUCGUAGACCCGAAACCAGGUGAUCUACCCUUGGUCAGGUUGAAGUUCAGGUAACACUGAAUGGAGGACCGAACCGACUUACGUUGAAAAGUGAGCGGAUGAACUGAGGGUAGCGGAGAAAUUCCAAUCGAACUUGGAGAUAGCUGGUUCUCUCCGAAAUAGCUUUAGGGCUAGCCUCAAGUGAUGAUUAUUGGAGGUAGAGCACUGUUUGGACGAGGGGCCCCUCUCGGGUUACCGAAUUCAGACAAACUCCGAAUGCCAAUUAAUUUAACUUGGGAGUCAGAACAUGGGUGAUAAGGUCCGUGUUCGAAAGGGAAACAGCCCAGACCACCAGCUAAGGUCCCAAAAUAUAUGUUAAGUGGAAAAGGAUGUGGCGUUGCCCAGACAACUAGGAUGUUGGCUUAGAAGCAGCCAUCAUUUAAAGAGUGCGUAAUAGCUCACUAGUCGAGUGACACUGCGCCGAAAAUGUACCGGGGCUAAACAUAUUACCGAAGCUGUGGAUUGUCCUUUGGACAAUGGUAGGAGAGCGUUCUAAGAGCGUCGAAGCAUGAUCGCAAGGACAUGUGGAGCGCUUAGAAGUGAGAAUGCCGGUGUGAGUAGCGAAAGACGGGUGAGAAUCCCGUCCACCGAUUGACUAAGGUUUCCAGAGGAAGGCUCGUCCGCUCUGGGUUAGUCGGGUCCUAAGCUGAGGCCGACAGGCGUAGGCGAUGGAUAACAGGUUGAUAUUCCUGUACCACCUAGUAUCGUUUUAAUCGAUGGGGGGACGCAGUAGGAUAGGCGAAGCGUGCUGUUGGAGUGCACGUCCAAGCAGUAAGGCUGAGUGUUAGGCAAAUCCGGCACUCAUAAGGCUGAGCUGUGAUGGGGAGAGGAAAUUGUUUCCUCGAGUCGUUGAUUUCACACUGCCGAGAAAAGCCUCUAGAUAGAUAACAGGUGCCCGUACCGCAAACCGACACAGGUAGUCAAGAUGAGAAUUCUAAGGUGAGCGAGCGAACUCUCGUUAAGGAACUCGGCAAAAUGACCCCGUAACUUCGGGAGAAGGGGUGCUCUUUAGGGUUCACGCCCAGAAGAGCCGCAGUGAAUAGGCCCAAGCGACUGUUUAUCAAAAACACAGGUCUCUGCUAAACCGUAAGGUGAUGUAUAGGGGCUGACGCCUGCCCGGUGCUGGAAGGUUAAGAGGAGUGGUUAGCUUCUGCGAAGCUACGAAUCGAAGCCCCAGUAAACGGCGGCCGUAACUAUAACGGUCCUAAGGUAGCGAAAUUCCUUGUCGGGUAAGUUCCGACCCGCACGAAAGGCGUAACGAUUUGGGCACUGUCUCAACGAGAGACUCGGUGAAAUCAUAGUACCUGUGAAGAUGCAGGUUACCCGCGACAGGACGGAAAGACCCCGUGGAGCUUUACUGUAGCCUGAUAUUGAAAUUCGGCACAGCUUGUACAGGAUAGGUAGGAGCCUUUGAAACGUGAGCGCUAGCUUACGUGGAGGCGUUGGUGGGAUACUACCCUAGCUGUGUUGGCUUUCUAACCCGCACCACUUAUCGUGGUGGGAGACAGUGUCAGGCGGGCAGUUUGACUGGGGCGGUCGCCUCCUAAAAGGUAACGGAGGCGCUCAAAGGUUCCCUCAGAAUGGUUGGAAAUCAUUCAUAGAGUGUAAAGGCAUAAGGGAGCUUGACUGCGAGACCUACAAGUCGAGCAGGGUCGAAAGACGGACUUAGUGAUCCGGUGGUUCCGCAUGGAAGGGCCAUCGCUCAACGGAUAAAAGCUACCCCGGGGAUAACAGGCUUAUCUCCCCCAAGAGUUCACAUCGACGGGGAGGUUUGGCACCUCGAUGUCGGCUCAUCGCAUCCUGGGGCUGUAGUCGGUCCCAAGGGUUGGGCUGUUCGCCCAUUAAAGCGGUACGCGAGCUGGGUUCAGAACGUCGUGAGACAGUUCGGUCCCUAUCCGUCGUGGGCGUAGGAAAUUUGAGAGGAGCUGUCCUUAGUACGAGAGGACCGGGAUGGACAUACCUCUGGUGUACCAGUUGUCGUGCCAACGGCAUAGCUGGGUAGCUAUGUAUGGACGGGAUAAGUGCUGAAAGCAUCUAAGCAUGAAGCCCCCCUCAAGAUGAGAUUUCCCAACUUCGGUUAUAAGAUCCCUCGAAGAUGACGAGGUUAAUAGGUUCGAGGUGGAAGCGUGGUGACACGUGGAGCUGACGAAUACUAAUCGAUCGAAGACUUAAUCAAUUU